RNAcentral lists this long non-coding RNA (16992 nucleotides) under Citrus x clementina. Its description in RNAcentral is "Citrus clementina (C. clementina) long non-coding RNA (CCLE_LNC004415)". The stretch from base 12476 to 12582 matches the Rfam family "Plant small nucleolar RNA R71". Lineage: Eukaryota; Viridiplantae; Streptophyta; Magnoliopsida; Sapindales; Rutaceae. The record is from RNAcentral.
CACAAAUAAGAUUUUAUAUAUGGACACUUUCCUCUUUGUUAGUGCCUAUAUAUCAUAUCACAUACAACUAAACAAGUAAUAUGUCUUGUUUUGUAUUGAGGUACUGUGUGAAAGGAAUUUAGAUCUAUCGAAAAUAGAUGUAGGCAAUUAAAAAUAAAAAAAUUAAUUAUUUAAUUAAUUUUUUCGGAAGAACUGUUCACUGUUACUGUUUACCGCAACUAUUCACACUUACCAUUCACGGUCACUGUUCAUCCGCAUAAAAAAUAUUAAUUUUUCAAAAAUACAAUAAAAUGUAGAAAACAAAUGACAUGGAGAUUUUUACGUGGUUCAGAUUAAUCAAUCCUACAUCCACGAGGCCACGCCCAGAUGAAAAAUAAUUCACUAAGUUGAGAUGUUACAACCUUUGGAUUGACCAAACUUAAGACUCUCACUUACAGUUUAACAACAUACAAUUUACUCAACCUUAGAAUGAAUCUGCUUCUCUUGAAUAAUUGCUACCCCUCUUGAUCCACGAUCCUCAAGGCACUUCACAAAGUGAUCAAUAGCAAUUCUUCAAUGUCUAGUGAUCCAAAAUCCACAUAGACUCUCCACGAAGAUGAAAAGAAGAUAAUAAAACAAAUCAACACAACAUUAUGCACCAAAUCUGGAUUCUCUAGGGAGGAGGCCGAAUUUCGCUUCUCUGCUUUAUGCUCUGUGUUGUGCGAUCAAACUUCAAUUGUGAAAUACCUCUUUUUAUAAAGGCACUAGGGUUUCACCAAAAUAGCAAGUUUUAAAAGACUUGGAUUCUUUCCAAAUAAGAGUUUCUUUCCUCUUAUAAUUCCCAUGAAUCUGAAUAUGAUUAAAUAUGAUCUUCUUGCCUUACUUGUCUUCUAAGAAAUAUCUAGAGCAUUUAAUGACUUCCUGCUUGAACCAACUUCUUGUUCUAAAUAGAUCUCAUGUGUCAAUUAUAGAAUCCCACCAUUAAUUGACUUCCUAAAAUAAACAUCUAAUUAAAUUAGAAAACAAAUAUUCCUAAUAAAUUGGAAUCUCACUAAAUUAGGCAAUUAAUAAAUUAAUCCCUAUUACAAGAUAUGCAAUAAAUAAACUUCCAAUUUAACUAGACUUACCAUAAAAUGCCAACUCUAUAAAUAAUGGACUUAACAAUCUCCCCCUUUAGCAUACUUGUGGCAAAAGCAAUCCAACACAAGUCUUCCAUGGACUUUGGCGCUAAGAUAUGAACCUGGACAAGUAUAAACAACAACAAGGAACUAGCCAAAAUAAUUGACAAUUAGCAUGUUAGUUCAUGAAAAUAAACCAAGGUAAGAAUUAAAAUAAAAUGCUAAUUUUAUUGAUCAAUAAAUGGAAAGAGAACAUUAAGCAGAAAAUUAAGAGCAAUAAAAAUAUAAACUCCCCCUAAGAACUAGAAUCCAAAAAUUAAAAAUUCUUGAAUAAAAUCUCUCCCUAGAAUGGAAAAUACUACUCCCCCUAACUCAUUGCAUUGAGCAAUUGAAGACUUGAAACAAAUUACUCCCCCUCUUUUGCCAAAAGAUUACAAAAGAGAAGUAGUUUUGUAUGCAAUUUGGCCAAGCCAAACGAGUAGAAAGAUUAGCAAUAUCUUGCCCUUGUUUCAAAAUGGUGGCCUCAAGAUGGACAAGAUUAGGAGCAAAAGAGGUAGAUGGAGGAGAAGAGCGAACAGAGGUGGCAACAAAAGUAGGAAGAUCACGAAGAGUACUAGGAGGAGCUCCACUGGUGACGGCGCGUGAGGGUGCGUGUGGCAGUGGCUGGUGGUCGAUAAUGGCAGCAUGAACAAUGGCGGCAUUGGUGGUGAUCCUAGCGUCAAAGGAGGAAGGGCCAGAGUGAAAACUAUCUUCACUAGGAUCACUUUCCAUGGAGUCGCUGUCACUUGAAUGCAUGGAUUCUUCAGGAGGUAUUUGUCCAAAUUUGGGAUCAAAAUCCUCAUCAUCAUCAAGUAUAUGAAUCUCAUGAGGCCGUCCACAACCAGAACAAAGGUAAGGUGUAAGAGUGGGACAACGCUUGGGAUUAGAGUAAGCAUGAGAGCUCUCACCAGUGUUAAGCUUAGAAGCCAUGGAAGAGGAAUAUUAAGAACAAGGGAAAAAAAGUUUUAAAAAGAAGAGCGAACAAAAUCUGGACCAGCCAAAAGAAGGGAGAAAGAAGCCACAAAUUGGAAUGCAGAACAAGGAUCUAAGGGUUGCUUUAUAUAGAAGAACUUGACUUGUUCAAGUAAGGUUUGGAAAUCCAACUAACAUAAGAAAAACAUUAAUAAAGCGGAUUGUAUUCCAAUUUAAUGCACUAACCAUCAUAGAUUUCAUUCCAGAUCAGUAAUUAAACAUAAACCAACUCAAACAAGUCAGAAACAAAGAGGAAAAUAUCAAAACGAAAUCCCAUGCAGGAUACUUUACGAAACAGACAUACAGUGCAGAGCAGAGAACUUGAAAAUUAAACUGAGAAUGAAUGAGACAGAAUCAGAAUGCAAUAUAUAUACCAUUGGAAAGCUUAUUGAAUCAGAUUUUUACAGGAUUUUACAGAAUCAAAUUUAGAGUUCUGUAGACAAAGUUAUGACCAAAAGAUCGCAACAUGCUCAGUUGUGACAGGAAAAGCUUGUCAAUGCACUAUAAAAAAAAUUGAGUUAUGCUUAAAAAAAAUGUGUCUCUUAAGACUUAAAAGCGUAUCAUUAUGUAAGAACAUGAGAAUGCACAUGCAAAAUGAAUUUUUUUUUGUUUUAAAAAAAUGCAUUAAUAAUGAAAUUGAACAAAAAAAUAUUUGAGAAUUUUUCACAACAAGCAUUAAUUCAUGUAAUCAAGAUUAUAAUUUCCUCAAUUAAGUAAAGAUUAAAGAAAUCUAAGCUUGUGUGUGCAAACAACUCUAUCUAAACUUUUUUCCCAAAAAAUCAUCAAUUUUCACAGUCAAAGUCUUAAAUAUAAAACACAGAGUUUGUCAAACUAACCUUAUCAUCUUGAUCUCCAAUUUUUGACCAUUUCAAUUGACAAACCUUUUUUUUUUUGUGUGCUUGCAAAGCCUUUUAUUCAUUUUUUUUUAAAUUUACGGUCAGGAGCUUUCACUCUACCCCUUCAGGUAGCCUUCUUCUCAUGAUUUGUCCUCUGUCAUUUUUGUGAUACGCAGACUCAGAUUACUCAAGGAUAGCUUCACUCUUAAGAGUUAUAGGUAGUUAUUUCUGACCAUAGUGUCUGCAUAUAUUUGAGGUCUUAUAACAAGAUAAGAAUCAAGGCAAACAGUUAUAACUCAAGUUAAAUAUUCUCAACAAAGACCAUGUCAAUAUCAAAACCUUGAGUCAAAGUAGAGGCUGAAUUGUCAUUCAUGUGCUUUUGAAGAAAGGUUAAAUAACUCUAAUCAAAACUUAUUCAAGACUUUCAAAUCUUUAAAAACAUGAAAGGUUAAAAUGGAACACAAAAACAAUGAUUUAAAAUUGAAAUUUAUAAAUGCAUGACCUAUAUCUAAUGCAAAAAUGCAUGAAAAAAAAAACUAAAGAAAAACAUUUGAACUUACAUGGAACACACACCUAAAGCUUUCCUUAAAGAUUCAAAUCGUUUGGAGUCUAAAGCUUUUGUGAAAAUAUCUGCAAGUGUUUUUAUAUCAAUGUAUUCUAAGGGCACGGUCUUGCUCUCAACUAAAUCCCUAAUGAAGUGAUGACGAAUAUCAAUAUGCUUAGUUCUACAGUGUUGAACAUGAUUUUUAGAAAUAUUGAUAGCACUCGUGUUAUCACAAAACACAGUCAAAGUAUCCUGAACCAUACCAUAAUCUGCAAGCAUUUGUAUCAUCCAGAGCAAUUGGGUGCAACAACUUUCAGCUGCAAUAUAUUCAGCUUCAGCCGUGGAAAGAGAAAUUGAAUUCUGUUUCUUACUACGCCAUGGUACUAAGUUAUUUCCAAGAUAAAAAAAUCCUCCAGUGGUGCUUUUUCUAUCAUCAAUAUUGCCAGCCCAAUCUGCAUCACUAUAUCCUGCAAGACUUGAAUUAGUGUCAUUAGUGUACCAAAUUCCAUCAUUAACUGUUCCACUAACAAAACAAAUGAUUCGUUUGACAGCAGCUAAGUGUGAUUCCUUUGGAUUUGCUUGGUACCUAGCACAUACACCAAUACUGAAACAUAUAUCUAGUCUACUUGCAGUCAAAUAAAGUAAGCUACCAAUCAUGCUUCUGUAAAGACUAGGAUCAACACUAGAACCAUUAUGAUCAACAGUUAACUUGGCAUUAGUGCUCAUAGGGGUUCUCAAGUGUUUUGCAGAAUCUAAACCAAACCUCUUGACUAAACUCUUUGCAUACUUACUUUGAUUAACAAAAAUUUCAUUCUCCAUUUGUUUCACUUGCAAACCCAAAAAGUAAGUUAAUUCUCCCACCAUGCUCAUCUCAAAUUCCUUUUUCAUUUGACUCACGAAUUCAUGCACAUGAUGAGAAGAAGUAGAACCAAACACUAUAUCAUUAACAUAGAUUUGAACAACUAAAAUCCUUGAAUUAAGUUGCUUAAUAAAUAAUGUUCUAUCUACUCCCUCACGCUUAUAGCCAUUUUCAAGCAAAAAAUUGGUCAACCUUUCAUACCAAGCUCGAGGAGCUUGCUUUAAACCAUACAAAGUCUUUUUUAAUUUAAAAACAUGGUUUGGGAAAUAGGGGGUCUUCAAAACUUUUGAGUUGUUCAACAUAGGCUUCUUCGUUUAAGAUGCCAUUAAAAAAUGCACUGUUAACAUCCAUUUGAAAUAAUUUAAAGCCUAUUAAACAAAUAACUAGAAAAACCAAACGAAUAGAUUCUAGUAUAGCAACAGAUGCAAAGGUUUUAUCAAAGUCAACCCAUGCAUACCAAGAGAAAUCAUCUACACACACAAAUGCGUACCUUUUUCCAGCCAAAGUUUCAACUUGCAUUGGUCCCAUAAGAUCCAUAUGAAGUAGUUGUAGCACCUUUGAUGUUGCUUUAUCCUGAAUGGCUUUAUGCGACGCCCUUUGUUAUUUUCCAGAUUGACAUGAGCCACAUAUUCCAGGUUGUUUCUUUUUAAGCAUUGGAACUCCUUUUACAGCACCUGUUUUCACAAUUCUAGCUAGUAAUCUGUAGUUCAAGUGACCCAACUUUUGAUGCCACAAUUCUGUGUCAUCAAGAGUGGUCUUAUGACACACAAUUGAGCUAGUCAAUUUAUAACGAUGAUCAGAUGAUCGAUGUUCUUCCAAAAUGCAAUUUCCAUCAACAUCAAGAACGCGACAUUUGUUCAUGUCAAAAUUGACAAACAAGUUUUGAUCACAAAUUUGAUUAAUACUGAGUAAAUUUGCUUUGAGAUCCUCCACAUGCAGAACAUUGUCAAGUUUUGGAAACCCUUCCACAUUUAAAGUUCCCUUUCUAAGCACUCGACUUUUCACACCAUCAGCAAAUGUUACAUUUUCUCGAUCAAGUUUUUGAUAAUUGGUCAAGGCAUUUCUAUCACCUGUCAUAUGUCUAGAACAACCACUAUCAAAAUACCAAAAAUCAGUAGUGUAAGUUCUCAAGGAAAUAAAGGAAACAUAAACUUUAUAAUCAGUCUUCCUUAUCCAAGUAGUUCUAAGUUUAUUUUCACUUGUCUCAACCUUAGGUCUAGGUGUCAUCCUAGGUUUUACAUGAGUAUAAUUAAAGAACAUAGCCUUUUUCAUUUAUUUAAUGAGCUUGAAACAAUUAGGUCUUAUAUUUCCUUUCAUAUGACAAAAAUGACAAGUGGGAAUAAAUUUGUUGUUCUUACCUUGAUGAACUAGUGAGAAUGUGCAACAACUUUACCUUUUUGAAGAUAUGGAAGUUUAACUAUAGGUGGAGAAGUUGUUUGUGAAGAAGCUUUAACAAACACACCUUGAGAAUUUGAGUCUUUACCAUGUUGAUAUCCAAGACCAUGAUGAUCUAAGCUAGAUUUGUCGAGUGACAAGAUAUGGUUUAACAUCUGAGUUCCAGAACUCAUCAUCUUAAGUGACUUUUUGGUAUUCUCUAAUUCUGUCGUCAUUGCAAGCAAUUGGUUAUCUUUGUCAGUAAGUAAAGACUUGUAAUGAAUUACCUCACUCUCAAGUUUCGCCUUAUCAUCUAAAAGAUUGGAUACUUGAGUCAUCAAUGUCACAUUCUCAUUGUAGACUUCUUCCCAUUUAGCGAACAUCAUCUUGUAGCUUUCAUGAAAUGCUUUCUUGUCAUUUAUAUCAAUGUCACUGACGUUGCUAUCUGAAUCAUUAUUUUGGUUAACAUGUUGCACAAUUGUGUCAAGACGGGAAUCAGUGUCUUCCUUGCAAGGAGCUCAGUGCGAGGAUUCAGUUGUGGAUGCAUCUCUGAUGUUUGAUUCAUGUUUAUUGCUAUCAUUAUGCACAAUAAGUCCUCCAACAAGAUCUUCUUCAUCAAUGCUAUCAUUUGAAUCAUCAUCACUCCAAGUGGAUUGCAUUGCUUUCUUUUUCAUUAAAGUGUUAGCACAUUGUGCUUGUAUGUGUCCUAUGCCUCCACAUUCUCUGCAUUGAAUACCCUCAAGCUUAUUAAGAUCAAACAAUUUAAAAUUAGGGUUAGAAGAACCUUCUUGAGUUGUUGGAGCCACUGAUGUAGAGGUCUUCCUCGAUUUGUUGAAGUUCUUCUUUUUUCAACAUUUUCUUGAAAUUAUUUGCAAUGAGUGCAAGAGAAUUAUUAACAUAUAUAUAUGGUGAAAUACAAGUGUGCAACCCAAGAGGGGGGGUGAAUUGAUAUUUUAAAAAUUAUCCUAACAAAGCCACACAACAAUCUAAUUUAACGCCUUAAUAAAUUCGAAAGCAAUAAGUUCAAUAAGAGCACCAUAACAAAUGAGUAAGAGAGAAGAGAAACAAACACAUGAAUUUUUACGUGGUUCGGCAAUCCCCGCCUACGUCCACGUCUCCAAGCGAUCCAAGCUUGAGGAUUUCACUAUCCAAGCCUUCCAAGACUUCAAACGAUUACAAUUGACUUCAAGGUGCAAAUGAAUCUUUACAACAAAGAGAUUAUCUCCCAAUCUCUUCACUCAAGUGUCUCACACACUCAAACACUCACAAUUAAGAUGAAGAAAUGAAAGUUACAACCAAAACUCUCUUAAAGAGUAGAUGUACAAAUUGAAGAACAACAAUGAUUCAAUGAAUAAUGACUUGCGAAUUGAUAGCUCAAGAUAUGUUGUGUGCUUUUUGUUUUUGCUUGUUGGAGAGCUUGAAAAUGAAUUGGAUUUGAGUUUUUAUAGUUUGAGCUAAAAAACUAGCCGUUAUGCACAUUUUGGUGAUAACCGACUUACCAUUUAUGGACAUCUAGUUAGCCACUUAAUGUUACCAUUAAAGCCAAAAUUUAAAUUUUUGAACAUUUAAUGGACAUCUAGUUAGCCACAUUUUGUUAUUUUAUAUAAGCAAGCUUAAGUUAAAUGAAAAAGAAAGGUUUACGAAAGAAAAAGAGAUCAAAACAAGAAAAAUGAACUCAUUGAAUGAACUUAUGAUAUCAAAAUGCUUAUUUCUACUCAAGUCACCAAGAAUGUAAACAUUUUUUUUUGUUUUUUUUUUUUGUGAUUUUUCUUUUUCUUUUUAUUUUUGUUUUUGAAUCAAACAAAAGAAACGAACCUUGCACAAUUUAAUUCAAGCAUAAUGCUUGUUGAUCUAAUUGAGAAACUUUAUUACAAGUUAGAAAAAGCAACAAAAUAUAUCCACACAAUGAGUCCAAAAAUCUCCUUAAAUUGAGGCUAAAAAAAAAAGAAAAAUGGUUAAGUAGACGGAGAGAAUUAGAUGGGUAAUUGUUAAGGCUCAAACAAAGGUAGCAAAUAAAGGUCUUUGGGUAGAGAAAAAGGAAAAUGCGAGAAUAGAAAAAUGGUAAAUGGUUUGCCCUAAUCAUUUUAAUGCAUAAAAUCCCGUAAUGUGGCUUCAACAUGCAUAAUAAAGCAAGUUCUAAAAUAAACAAACUAGAAUUGAUAUUCACAUAAUAAAAAUAAUUAGAGCAAAGUGGUUGCUCAUAGGCUCAAAUCCUCACAAAGUUGGUAAAUUUGCCAUCAAAUCCUGUACACUCUUCAAAUGAAUCAACCAUCAAUAGUGGUGUAGAAUGAGAAGAAGGUAUGAAUGAGAUAUAAAAGGAAAGGUAAAAAGGAUAAUAAGCGAGAAAGAUGUAUGUAGUAAUAUGAAAAGUGAAAGAUAAAAUGUGAGUGAUGAAAGAGUAUGGUAAAAUAAAAAUAGACAUGAAUAAUUUGAGAUAGAUGGGAAAAAAGUAGUGAGAAGGAAAAGGAAAGAAAAAUAAUAAUAUAUGAAGCAUACUAACUCCAAAAUCAUUUAAAGAUGAGUAGAGUGAAAAUAGAUGAGUAGAGUGAAAAUAAUAAUUCCAGGCAUCAAUAAUGCAAAAAUCCCUCCCCCACACCAAUAACUUACAUUGUCCCCAAUGUAAGAUAAUCAAAGCUCACAUAAAAAUUAAAGCGUAAGGAUAAAAGAUUAAGGGCAAAAAGAAACUUCCCUGAAUUGUGAGCUUUGAUCCACAUAACGUCUAUGGGCUUGGCGGAAAUGGUGGGGUAAAUCCCACACUCUCGAAGUAUGCGGCCAAAUUUUGCUCCAUCUUGUUCAGCUUGUGCUCCAUUUUCUCUAACUGAAUACUCAAGGGUGGUGCGGAUGUAGAAGGAAUAGUUGGCGGGGCAGCAGUGUCGUCGUCAAACUCGUCAUCAGAGGUAGCACCACUCCUAGCAUAAAGCUUCUUCGGAAGUUAAGUGGGUCCUAGUUCAGUAAACUGAAAUCUCCCCUCCUUGAAUUCAACCACACCUGUUCUUUCAAACACAGACAUAUCCAAAAAUUCCUUUUUGCAAGCAGGAUGCAAAUCAUUAUUGUCGGGAUCAAGCACACAUAGGUUUAUAGCUAACAGAGUAAUGUAUGGACCCAGAAAUAAAGUCCUAUACCGUUUAAGCACAUUUUGAAAUUGAUCCGCUAACCAAAAACCUAAAUUAGGCCUCACAUCAUUUAACAUGCACCAGAUAAAAUAAAAUUCAGUUUUAGAGAAAAUUCUUGAGUGAUCUUUCUUGCCUAAAACAUUAUAUGCUAAGAAUCGAUGCACACAUUUCAAAACAGGAUCACGUAAAAAAGAACUCUUUGAUUUACUCGGGUCAUAGGCAUUGUGAUCAACAGAUAAAUUACGCCAAAGACCAAAAGGCUCAAAAUUUUUGCUAAAGUCACAAGUUGUUCCUAAAUAUGCAUCACUAGAAGAAUAAUCAUCAUCAAUGAAUCCUAAAGCUAGGUUAAAAUCCGUGAUAGAGUGUGAAAAAUUUCGUCCCAUUAAUCUAAACUUAAUGACAUCCGGGGUAUGCAAAGUAAAAUCAUUCGGCAUAGUAAAUUGAAAAGUAGCAUAAAACUCCCUAAUCAACUCAACAUAACUCAAACAAUCAACAUCAACAAAUUUACGCAACCCAAUCUUAUCUAUUAAAGAAUCAAAAUUAUCCUUAACAUUCAAUUUUUCAAGAGUCGGGUAAUGAAUAUACUUAGCUGGAAGUAUUUUGCGCGUGGAAAUAUCUUUGUACCUCUCUUUCUCUUGUUGAGUCGCGAACGCAAAGCACCCUCCGAGAUUGGAUUCCGCAAGUGGCAAAAUACUCAUGCCUUUUCCAUGCUUCGAUCUUUGUCUCACGGCUUGGCGUGAAUCUGAAAUUGUGUUCCAUGGAACCGUAGUGGGAGCGGCAAUCUUAGAUUUCUUUGCGAUGGAUGUCUUUUUCGAUGACUUGGAAGUUGAUGCUUUCCUCUUCGGUAUUGUUACAAUAAUUGCACUCACAGAUUUCGUUUUACCCGGCUGGAAUAUAGGGCGUAAGCUGGUUGCGUUGCAGGGUGUGCCCGUUGCUGCGUUACGGGCUUGCGUUGCGCGCUGGUGAGGCUUGCUUUGAGGGUGCUGCGCUGCGUUGCGCGCUGGUGGGACUUCGUUGCGUGCUGCUGGGCUGCGAGACACGGGAUGCUGGUGCUGCAUGCGCGGGGGCUUGCGUUGCGCGCUGGUGGUUCGCGUUGCUGGUUCGCGCUGCGUUGCUGGGCUGGAUCUACGCACUGCUGCGUUCGCGUUGUGUUGCGCGCGAGAGCUGGUUCGCGCUGCUGCUCAGCUACGUUGCACGCGGCUGGAGCUGAGAAUCUGGGUUGCUGGGGCUUGCGUUGCGCGCGACUGGUUCGCGCUGGAAGCUGCUUGCGUUGCGGGGUGAAGGCUGGAGCUGAGGCGCGCUACUGUAAAACGAUAAUCAACAGUAAUUUUUGAAUUAGGGAUUUGUGAACAAUGAUUUUCGAUUUUUGGGUUUUUUUUAGUAAAUAAAUAAAUAAAUAUAUAAAAGAAAGAACAAAAGAAAAUCUCUUUUUUUUUUCGUUUUUUUUUAAAAAAAAAUUAAAUUAAAUUAAAUUUAAAAUAAAGAUUUUUUUUUUUUUUUUUUAGUGAUGAAACACUUGGAGACACCAAAAAUUUCAAAAGUACUUUUUUAAUAAGCACGUGGGCACGCCUUAAAACUAUUUUACUUUAAAAAUUACAGAAGUAUUUUUUAGUUAAGACGUGGGCACGCCUUAUCAAAAAUUUUCUUCUGGCCAAAAUAAGCAAACACAUUAUUUUAAAAAAAAUCUGAAUCAAAAUUAAAAGAAGAUAUAACAAAAAUCAAAAUAAAUAAAUCAUUUGGGUUGCCUCCCAAAAAGCGCCUUUGUUUUAUGUCUUUGGCUAGACACAUUUAUGCAUCAAUCUCCAUAAUUGGGACUCUCGAGAUCCACAUCCUCCACAAUAUUCACCGAAAAACCUUCAUAAAAAGGUUUUAAGCGAUGACCAUUAACCUUAAAAACUUUGUCAGAGGUCGGACUCCGAAUCUCAACUGCACCAUGAGGAAAAACAUUAGUAACAAUAAAAGGUCCAACCCAGCAAGAACGUAAUUUACUCGGAAAAAGUUUAAGCUUAGAAUGAAAAAGAAGAACUUUUUGACCAACAGAGAACUCUUUUCUCAAAAUUUCCUGCGCUAUAGGGUUAAUAACAUCCACAGAAAAUACCGAAUGUUCCUCACUAGGAUAUUUCAUGGUAUCAUUCAUAUUGAAUUCUAUAACCUCUCCAUCAAACUCCAUAGUGAGAGUCCCUUUAUGUACAUCCAUUUUAGUCCUAGCAGUCUUAAGAAAAGGUCUUCCUAGCAAAAUUGGGACAAAAUUAGAGGAGUUAUCAUCUUCCAUAUCAAGUACAUAAAAAUCAGCAGGAAAAACCAACUCAUUAACUUGUACUAAGACAUCUUCUAAUACCCCAUCAGGAUAUGCAUUAGACCUAUCAGCUAGUUGAAUUAUCACGCCAGUUUCUUUUAAUGGACCAACAUUCAAAGAUGAAUAAAUGGAACGAGGCAUGACAUUAAUAGAAGCUCCUAGAUCUAACAUAGCUUUUUCAACUCUAACACUACCAAUUUUACAAGGGAUAGUAAACAUACCUGGAUCCUUGCACGUAGGAGGUAGUUUCUUUUGGAGAAUUGCUGAACCAUUCUCCCCCAUGUGAACUUUUUCAUCUUCUCUUAAUUUUCUUUUGGAGGUGCACAGUUCCUUAAGGACUUUAGCAUAUCGAGGUAUUUGUUUUAUAGCAUCUAAUAAAGGAAUAUUUACCUCAACCUUGCGAAAUGUCUCAAGGAUGUCUUUCUCUUGUUCCUCCUUCUUAGAUUUUACAAACCGGCUUGGAAAAGGAGGAGGUAUCACAAUAGGUAGGGGUUUCGCUCUGGUGGGUUGUGCAUCUUGAGAUUGAGGCAUCAAUUCAUUCUUCUCAAGCUCAUCUUGUACAUGCUCUGUCACUUUCUUACUAGGCUCUUGCAACUCCUUCCCACUUCUAAGGAUGACAGCACUAACAUUUUGCUUUGGAUUCACCUUAGAUUGUGAAGGCAAUCUCCCUAAUACUUGAGACUCCAGACGGCUCACUGUAGUCGCCAAUUGACUCAUUUGGUUCCCCAAGUUCUGAAUGCUUGCUGUAGUUGCCUGCUGAAAUUGUUGACUGUUAGUCGCAAGUGAUUUAACAAUUUCUUCAAGAGAUAUACCUGACUUGGAGUUUGACUGUGGAGGUGUUGGUUGUCUUGGUGGAUACUAUUGUGGGAAUCCUGACGGCCUAACUCCAUAGCUGAAGUUGGGAUGAUCCUUCCAUCCCGGAUUGUAUGUUUGUGCAUAAGGAUCAUACCUCCUCUGAGGUAUGCCUAGAAAUCCUCCAACUGCAUUGGCAUGUUCAACGGGUUCUUCUUGAAGUGUAGGACACAUAUCAGUUGAAUGACCCAUAUUGUAACAAAUGCCACAAGUCUUCACCUGUUGCACAUUAUCUACAACAAACUUUUCCACAAGAGAAGUAAGUUUAUCUAAACGUUGUUCAAUAGAAGAAAUAUUUACCUCAUUCACCGUUCUUGAAGUGGCAUCUUGUCUGCUGCCAAAUUAUUGUGCAUUGGCAGCCAUAUUUGAGAUCAACUCCCUUACUUGAGUAGGGGUCUUGUUCACCAACACACCUCCACUAGCAGCAUCUAUCAUACUCCUAUCUAUCAAUGAUAGUCCUUCGUAAAAAUAUUGAAUAAGAAGUUGAUCAGAAAUCUGAUGCUGAGGACAGCUGGCACACAAUUGUUUGAAUCGCUCCCAAUACUCAUACAAAGUCUCCCCAGGAAGUUGUCUGAUCCCACAAAUAUCUUUUCUGAUGUUGGCAGCUCUUGAAGCAGGAAAGUACUUCUCAAGGAACUGCUUCUUCAAACCAUUCCACGUUGUAAUCGAUCCAGGAGGCAAGUAGUACAACCAAUCUUUAGCUAGCCCAUCUACAGAGAACGGAAAAGCACGCAGCUUAAUCUGCUCUUCAGUCACGCCUUGUGGCCUCAUACUUGAGCACACAACAUGAAACUCCUUAAGAUGUUUAUGAGGAUCUUCACCUGCAAAACCAUGAAACUUGGGUAAUAAAUGAAUAAGACCAGACUUUAAUUCAAAAUUUACCUCCAAAUCUACAUAUUGAAUGCAGAGUGGUUGCUGAUUCAAGUCUGGUUCAGCUAACUCUCUAAGAGUUCUUUCUACAGGUGCAGGUCUAUCCAUCACUUGUUCUUCUGAAUCACUAGAUGAUUCAACUAAAUCAGGUACUGUAUCUAUUUCAGAAAGCAAAGGCGACGAGGAUCGUUGCUUAGCUCGCUUCGUCUGCUGUCUCAACUGGCGAGCUGUCUUCUCAAUUUCAGGAUCAAACGAAAGUGUACCUAUAUGAGAAGAACGAACCAUACACCAAGUAAAACGUAAAAAGGAUUAAAUAAAUGACACCAAUCCCUGGCAACGCCGCCAAAAUUUGAUGGGUGUCGAAGCCAACAAAAAUAAAUUCCUACUCUAAAUAAAUUGUGUAUAGUGAUUGAGCAGGGUCGUGUCCACAGAGAUCGGUAAUUAUUUAAAUCCUUUUGAAACGUAAAACGUAAAAUGGGGGAAUUGUUGACAAUAAUAAAAAUCAAAUUAAAAUAACAAGAAUGCAAAUUAAAGUUAUAAUUCAAAUUAGAGAAAGCUCUGGUUGAAGGAAUUAACUCAGCUUGAUUCGACAAUUGAUCAUUGAUUCAAAUAUAGAUUCUUAUUACUUAUGAAUAGACCGGUUAUAGCUAUUGAGACCCUCUAAUAGUCAAUCUCUCCUUAACUAGUCGAUAACCAAGGUACGACCGUUGGAUAUUUCCCUAAUCAAUAGACAACCCUAGAUACGAUCAUAAGAUUUAAUCAAUUGACAGCCUGAAAAACUAGAGAGACCCAAAUCCUAAUCAACACAUAUGAUGAUUCAUUUAAAUUAGAUUGUUUAUUCUCACAACACAACUCUCUGCUAUGUUAUUUGUCACAAACAUUAAAUUCUUCAUACGAUGAAUCCUUUAAUUGACAAUAGUGGCCAAUUACCUAAUUAACAAACAUAAUAAUGAAACUAAUUCAGAGAAUAAACAAAUACCCAAAAAGUAAUAAAACAAUUAAAGCAUAAGAAAGAUCUCACAGUAGUGAUGAAUCAAAGCUUCAUUAUCCUUCAACCAGAAAAAUAGGUUUAGCUCUUCAUAGAGAGAAGAGAAAAAUUAGAUCUAGGAUUUCUUUCUUUUUCUCCAAUCCAAAUCCCCCAUUUUCACAAUAAAUUCCUCCCUUAAAUACUCUAUCUCUCUUCUCCUCUAGAAUUCUAUUUAAAAUAAAAUACUAAUAUCUGAAAUAUUAAAUUCGUAAUUACAAAAAUAACCAAAAAUACAAAACACCUUAAACUAAAAACUGCAGGUCCGUAGUUGACAACACGCGCCCACGCCUUAUCAAUAAAGUUCUUCUGACGCUCAUAAUUUCUCCAAGAGAACAAUCAUCCUUAAACAUUAUCUUAUAGCUCAAUUUUAUCAUCAAUCAAUAGAAUUGCACCUACAAAAGUAAAACACAAGUAAAUCACUAUUAUUAAGUGCAAAACCUUGAUAUUAAGGGAAGUAAAUAAUGCAAAACUAGUGCAUAAAUUGUACUCUAACAACAUCCGGUAUGCCGCUCGUGAAAUCCGAAUAGCCGUUUAAGUUCUAGAAACUUUCCACCCAAAUUCGGUCUGCCAUUUGUCAGGAUCUGGAUAGCCGCUUGCUAUAGUAACUGCUACAGUGAACUAUUUUCUAAAAUUACAGUUUGACCUUAAAAUUUUAUAAAACUGUAUUAUAGCCCAAAACGUUAUUAAAGUUUUCAAAUAGGUCCAGUUUUAGAAUUUCUAAAUAAUACUUUGUCAAUCCCAAAACUUUCUAAAAUUAUGAUAUCACCCAAAAUAUGUGAAAUUAUAGAAUGACCUAAAAUAUUUAAAUAUUUUCAAAUAGGUCCAAAUCUGAAAUUGAAAACAAUAUUUAUUAAAAUCAAAGAUUGUAAAAUUCUUUCAUUUUAGUCCACAACUUGAAAAACAACUUAACUCCAUAAAAAACAUUUUCUUAUUAUAAAAGCACAAUACAUAAAUCUUUGUUUAAUCAACACAUGUGGUUUGUUAUCAUCAAAUCAAUAUCUAUAAUCAUAUAGGCUAACAUAUGGAUCAUCCUUCUCACUUGGUUUGGCAACGGGAACCUGUGUUUUAGCUUGCAAACUAAUACCUUUUUCUUCUUUAAAAUUCAAAUUCAAGUAUUUAGUUUUAUAAACCAUCAAUUUUCCUAUAAGUAAACCCCUAGUCAUAGCAGACAUAUCAGCAUAUUCUUCAAUAGCCAAAAUUUUAGGAUGAUAUCUAGGAUGGACAUAUCUUAAGAUUUUUCUGUAAAUUUCUUCCUCAUAAAUAGGUUGUCCAAGAGCAAAAAAAUCAUUAACCAUAGCAAGAAUUCUAGAAUUAAAUUCAGAUAUGGUUUCAUGUUCAUGCAUUUUCAGAUUUUCAAAAUUAGAUGUAAGUUUUUGAAGUUUAGAACGUUUUACUGUAUUGUCGCCUUCAAAGGUACUCUGGAGUAUAUCCCAAGCAGCUUUGGAUGUCUUGCAUGUAGAAAUUAGUUGGUGCUGAAACACAUCAACUCCAUUCACAAUGGCAUUAAGUCCUUUUACAUUAUAUCCGGAUGCAUCAAGUUCAUCAUUAGUCCAUUCUCUGACUGGCUUGGGAGAUGCUACACCAUCUUCAUCAAUUUUGAUAGGUGGAGUAUAUCCUGUUAGUACGCAUUGCCAAACUCUUUCAUCAAUAGCUGUCAGAUAAAUUUCCAUCAUUUACUUCCAAUAAGCAUAAUCCGUCCCAUCUAAUACAGGUGGACGAGCCAAAGAGCCUCCAUCUCUUUGCAAACUCAUACCUACAAAAUAGAUCUAGGAUCCAAGAAUCUCACCAAAUAGUUAAUGUCCCGCUCUAAUACCAAUUGAAAGGAAUUUAGAUCUAUCGAAAAUAGAUGUAGGCAAUUAAAAACUAAAAAAUUAAUUACUUAAUUAAUUUUUUCGGAAGUAUUGUUCACAGUUACUGUUCAUCCAUAUAAAAAAUAUUAAUUUUCCAAAAACACAAUAAAAUGCAGAAAAUAAAUGACAUGGAGAUUUUUACGUGGUUCGGAUUAAUCAAUUCUACAUCCACGAGGCCACGCCUAGAUGAAAAGCAAUUCACUAAGUUGAGAUGUUACAACCUAUGUAUUAACCAAACUUAAGACUCUCACUUACAGUUUAUCACCAUACAGUUUACUUAACCUUAGAAUGAAUCUGCUUCUCUUGAAUAAUUGCUACCCCUCUUGAUCUAUGAUCCUCAAGGCACUUCGCAAAGUGAUCAAUAACAAUUCUUCAAUUCUUCAAUGUCUAGUGAUCCAAGAUCCACAUAGACUAUCCACAGAGAUGAAAAGAAGAUAAGAAAAUAAAUCAACACAACAUUAUGCGCCAAAUCCGGAUUCUUUAGAGAGGAGGCUGAAUUUUGCUUCUCUACUUUAUGCUAUGUGUUGUGCGGUCAAACUUCAAUUGUGAAAUACCUCUCUUUAUAAAGGCACUAGGGUUUCACCAAAAUAGCAAAUCUUAAAAGACUUGAAUUCUUUCCAAAUAAGAGUUUAUUUCCUCUUAUAAUUCCCAUGAAUCUUAAUAGGAUUAAAUAUGAUCUUCUUGUCUUACUUGUCUCCUAAGAAAUAUCUAGAGUAUUUAAUGAAUUCCUGUUUGAACCAACUUCUUGCUCUAAAUAGAUCUAAUGCGCCAAUUAUAGAAUCCCACCAUUAAUUGACUUGCUAAAAUAGAUAUCUAAUUAAAUUAGGAAACAAAUAUUCCUAAUAAAUUGGAAUCUCACUAAAUUAGAGAAUUAAUAAAUUAAUCCAUAUUACAAGAUAUGCAAUAAAUAAACUUUCAAUUUAACUAGACUUGUAAUAAAAUGCCAACUCUAUAAAUAAUGGACUUAACACUGUGACUUAAAAGUUAUAAGUAUCGGUAAAAAAAAAUUGUAGUUAUGAAUUAAAUAUUAUUAGUGCAUGUAAAUAUAAUCCUUAAAUAAUAAUUUUGACAAAAUAAUAAAGAUAUUUAAGUUUUUUGGUCAUAAAGUGUGCAAUAAAAUUAACUUAUCUUCCAAAGUACAUCAACUAUUGUUUAUCUAAUACUUCAAUGGCUUAACUUAGAAGAUUCAGCUAUGGGCUACAAAGUUGCACUAAAAAGGAGUUUUGAAUGACAAACCCUUUUUAUUAUGACUUGACACACGAU